RNAcentral lists this non-coding RNA (32 nucleotides) under Homo sapiens (human). The record is from RNAcentral. Lineage: Eukaryota; Metazoa; Chordata; Mammalia; Primates; Hominidae.
UACUGAGCUGAACCCUCAGAAGCUGAGGUCUC